RNAcentral lists this unclassified non-coding RNA (3378 nucleotides) under Hevea brasiliensis (rubber tree). The record is from RNAcentral. Lineage: Eukaryota; Viridiplantae; Streptophyta; Magnoliopsida; Malpighiales; Euphorbiaceae.
AUCACCAUCUCGUACCACCUCGCAGCCAGUAUCACCAUCUCGUGCAAUAACUGAAGCUCGUGCUCCCUCUCUAACCCGAUCACCAUCUCGUACAGCUCCACAGCCAAGAGCUGCAUCUGUGCCACCAUCUCCAACUCGAACCUCUUCUCAGUCCCAACCAACUGUACAAACAGUUCCACAACCAUUUCUUUUGGACUCUCGACUUGCAAGCCAAACAUCCUCACAACCAUCCUCUCAAUCUACAACGGCUACUCAAAUUCAACAGAUAGUUUCUCAAGAGACCUCGCAGCCUCCAGUCAUCUCUGCUAAACCUCCACCAUCUGCCUCUCAACAACAAGAACCAAAGCCUACAGUGUCUUUGCCACUGUCACAAGCAACUCAACGGAAAAUAGAAUCUAAGCCUCUUCCAGAACCGAUGGAGAAUGCAAGGGAAACUGAAAAAGGCAAAGAAGUUGUGGAAAAGCUUAAAAGAGAGGGAAAGACAAAUGGUCCAGCUAAAGAGGAAACAUUGAAGAGCGCAAUCUCGGAACUUCUUACUGCAUCUGAGACAGGAGCACAAGCUAAAGAGCUACUGAGUGCAGCAUUUCAUCCUGAAAAGAAGCAACAAGAGAAUGAAGAUAAGAAGAUAACAAGCAUCAGCCCCAGUGGUGAACAUAUCAAAACUGUAAGCUCAACUCAAACAAAGGCCAGGAAUAAAUUUACUGAAUCUCAUCAAAAGCCUAGCAUGGCCAGUGGAGAACAAGUUUCAUUUCACAAAGAAAUUAGGGAUGACAUUUUCAAGUUCGUUCAUAAGCUGGGAGUAGGACAGCUAAGGUAUCCCAUGGAUGAUAAGCCAGUUAGCAUUGUGACAAUAGCUGGUGAAAACAGAGGAGCAUCUAUGCAUGUGGGUUCAGAACCAGCAAGGAAGGAUGGUUCUUUACACAUUCACCGGGGUUAUAAACUCAACCCAGAUGAAGGUGCUGGAGCUACAACCGAUGGAGAAGGAAGCACGUAUGAAAGGUCAACAAAUCCAACAAGAGAAGAUCGAGCAAGAAUGGCAUUUGUCAACAGUAAUACACAGGGUAUCAAUGACUCCAUGUUAUUUGAAAGUUCAGUGAAUGAGAGAAACCCUGGUAUUCAGCUGGUUCUCUCCCAUAACCUAGCAGAAUCCAUCAAUCCAAGUGCUAAACCAGAGCCUAUGGAGACACAUAAGGCUGAAUUCAAUGUCACCCCUGCUCAGAAGCUUACUUAUGAGCCCACAAUACGACGAAGAUGCUUAAGAGGGCUUUUCUUGGAACCCAGUGACUCAGAUCCCGAUAAUCCUGAAAAGCCUCGAAGACAUGGUUGCCGCUAUAGCUGUGCAGAGAAGGGCAAAGAUAAAGACAUAGGAGUUCUUUGAGCUAGCAAAUCACAAUUUCACAGCAUAUACCCACCUGCAGAAACGCAGUUAUUGUGUUCAUGGUAAUAACAAUUAACUACAAAAUUUAUAAUAAGGAUGCUAUAUCCAUCCACAAAUCAUGCUUUUAUAUCUUCUCUUUUUCUUAUUUCUUUUGUUUGUUUUGGUUGCAAUCAUGCUUUUUAUGAAUAAUGCUUCAGCAUGUUAUGAUAGUGAAUAUUUUGUGCACUGUACUUCACAGCUUGAUUUCAAGGUUUAGUGCACAGAUUACUAAGAUACAUCUGCGACAACAGUAAAAUUCUGUCAUGAAGUAGAUCUCAGGUCUGGAACUACAUUUUAUUAAAAUAAAUAUAAGUUGCAAACUCAUGUAGAUGUGACGUGCAUGCACUAGCAGAGAUGAUGACAGAAGGCAACGCUUUAAGUGCUUCCUUUAAAGAAAAUAUAUACAACAAAAUUUCAAGGGAAGACUAAUGGGAAUUUGGCCCGAGAUGGUCGUGAAUUUGUAGUCAUUCACAAGCUGGUUUAGUGUCAAAGCUACUCAAGCAGAUAGCAAAGGCUUGGAAUGCAGACAGUGGGUAGCGAUAGUCCAUGGUGAAGAUGUCUUUCCCAAUCUUUCCAAAUUGUAGAAUAACUUUUUCCUGUUCUUCCGCUGGCACAUUUUGGCCAAGCUCCACAGCUGCCACCAGCUGGAAAUUCUUAACAGAGGCCACAGUGACGCGUCCUUUGAAAUUUAGACACCAGCACUGCAGCUGCUCAUGCCAUCUUGGUGCUUUAUUUUUCAAAACCAAGGGAUCUUUUCUGCCGCAAAUUUGUUCAUUUGACUCUGCAAGGCUAGUCUGAACUCAAUAAGUGAAAUCCUUUGAUUUUGGAGGAAUUUGCUUUAUCCAUUAGAAUUUAUGAAUUCUGUUUGAGUAGGGCAGCGCCCCCCCGCCCCUACUUCAAUUGAAGAGAUGCGAAUUGAGUGCACGGUGCACUGCAUUCUCCUUGGGACUCUGGUUCGCAGAACAUUGAAGUCAUAAGAAAUGGUGGCCACAUUGUAGUUUCUAGCAGGAAACAACAAAGAAACCUAGACUGAAUGGAUUUUUCUGUGUGGCUUGCAGUUGGAUUGCAUUGUUGGAUAUGGAGACAUGUUCAGAGUACAGAGCUGAACAGGAAGAUUAGAGUGCUUGAAAUUUAGGAGCUCUUGUGAAGGUGAAGAAAUGAAUUUAACCUGCUAAAUCGCAUUUUUGAAGGUGAAGACACAAGAAUAUCUUGUCUGGUAACUCUUUGCUUUUUGUGAUUGUGUUUCUUGAGUUCUUUUCUUGAAAGCCUUAAAGGAUGGUGAUUCGAUAGCACAUCUCUCUUGAUUGUUAGUUUCUGGGUUGAGCAUCAGUAAUCUGGUCUACUUGACUGCAAAUGAAUCACGCGGAUGGAGUCGUAUAUGUGGCUAUAAGCUGAGAUUCAGGCAAAGUAUAUACUUGGAAUGCCUCGAGGAUCGAGGCAAUAGCUAUCCUUCCCCAGCACAUAGAACAUCAUACAGUCCUUCCCUACAUUAUCAGAACGAGAUAGAAACUAGAGAUGCUAGACCCAUCAGACAAGGAAAGUCUGUCUAAAGAAUCCCAAUUUUCUCCCAAGGCUUGCUUUUUAGAGAGGCAAACAGGUAAAAGUGGGGAUUGUGAAUUUGAAGAAAGCAAUGAUAAAGUCCCAAAAGCUUUCCAAGGUAUCAAAUGGGAACUUAUUAAUACCGUAUGAUCUUCCAAUAAGAAUUAAGCAACAACUCAACCACCCACAUCCCCUUUCUUUGUUAAACUUUAGUUAUCUUUUCCCUCGUAAUCUAUGGCAGACCAGAGGCCAUUUGGUCGCUUUCGACUGCCUUGGCUAUCAGCACCCACUACUCGUCCUGCUGCUGAACCCCAACCCCCUCCCCCUCGUCCUUCAGUUGAAAUAAUUCAAGCCCCUGCCCAGCCGACAACCACCAUCCCUGCUCAGCGUCCUCCGUUUCGACCUGCAGGGAUAGCCCCAGU